This 88-nucleotide small RNA is filed under the name Marmota monax (woodchuck). The record is from RNAcentral. Lineage: Eukaryota; Metazoa; Chordata; Mammalia; Rodentia; Sciuridae.
AUCGUUUCUCGGCCUUUUGGCUAAGAUCAAGUGUAGAUUUAUAAAAAUGAAUUUAACUGGGUAUAGUGGCACACACCUGUAAUCCCAU